GUACACGGGGCCUCUCUGCUUGUACAAAACGAACAAAUAAUCGAUUCGUCAUCGAUGUCAACAAUGGCGGUUGUUUCUUCUGCGACAUGAAGGUUGUCUCUUAGGCCUGGAUAAAACUGGCAGAUCAUCAUGCAGAUCAUCAUGCUCACUCUCAAUUUGAGUUGGAAUGGGGAAUGAUUCGUUAGAGUUGGUGAUCUGAAACAGAUGGCUUGUUGAAUAUGGGCAAAAACACAUCGGAUAAGUUGGAUUGUAUGAGGCCUUGUUGAACUAAUGGGUUUUCUUUGAUAAAGUGGUCAAAUGCAUGACACAGUACAGAUGUUGCACAACUGCUGGAACUGCUGAAAUCAUAUUUAUGAAAUGAAAAGUGAAGUGAGUAAAUUGUAUAUUGCCAAAAAGAGGAA
Molecule: long non-coding RNA, 401 nt
Organism: Saccostrea cuccullata (small rock oyster)
Lineage: Eukaryota; Metazoa; Mollusca; Bivalvia; Ostreida; Ostreidae
Exons: 3
Source: RefSeq, a predicted model, not a curated record